CUACUUCUCCAAUUUGAAUUUUCCACAUUCGACGGUACAAAGAUUAGCAUGACCCCUGCGCAAGGAUAACACGCAAAAUCGUGAAGCGUUCCACAUUUGU
This is a non-coding RNA of Agrilus planipennis (emerald ash borer), 100 nucleotides long. Lineage: Eukaryota; Metazoa; Arthropoda; Insecta; Coleoptera; Buprestidae. The record is from Rfam.